Molecule: ribosomal RNA, 492 nt
Filed under: uncultured bacterium
Lineage: Bacteria
Description: partial 16S ribosomal RNA
Rfam family: Bacterial small subunit ribosomal RNA
Source: RNAcentral
AGUGAACGCUGGCGGUAGGCCUAACACAUGCAAGUCGAACGGCAGCACAGUAAGAGCUUGCUCUUACGGGUGGCGAGUGGCGGACGGGUGAGGAAUACAUCGGAAUCUACUUUUUCGUGGGGGAUAACGUAGGGAAACUUACGCUAAUACCGCAUACGACCUACGGGUGAAAGCAGGGGAUCUUCGGACCUUGCGCGAUUGAAUGAGCCGAUGUCGGAUUAGCUAGUUGGCGGGGUAAAGGCCCACCAAGGCGACGAUCCGUAGCUGGUCUCAGAGGAUGAUCAGCCACACUGGAACUGAGACACGGUCCCGACUCCUACGGGAGGCCGCAGUGGGGAAUAUUGGGCAAUGGGCGCAAGCCUGAUCCAGCCCUACCGCGUGGGUGAAGAAGGCCUUCGGGUUGGAAAGCCCUUUUGUUGGGAAAGAAAAGCAGCAGGUUAAUACCCCGCUGUUCUGACGGUACCCAAAGAAUAAGCACCGGCUAACUUCGUG